Molecule: long non-coding RNA, 296 nt
Filed under: Elaeis guineensis (African oil palm)
Lineage: Eukaryota; Viridiplantae; Streptophyta; Magnoliopsida; Arecales; Arecaceae
Description: long non-coding RNA (EGUI_LNC009059)
Source: RNAcentral
UCCUUCUCCUCGACGAGCUCCAUGAGAAGGCCAACUUCACAAGGAGGCCGACGUGGACUUCAUCUAGAGGCCGACUUCAUCUGGAGGCCGAUCUCAUCAAGUCAUCCAAAAUUUUGGACUUCGUCCAGAAGUCGAGGAGAAAAUCUGAGGAAAAACUCUGACAAGACUGGCAAAUCCGAGGAGGAAAUCUGAGAAAAUCCACCUCACUUGGAGGUCCCUACAAAAUGGCUAAGCACGGAGACUCUGAAAGAUAGACGACUCAAAAAAUCUAUAAAAUAACCAUUCCCUCAUCGGCU